GUUAGAAAAUUAGCAUAGUUCAUAGAAAUGUAAUCAAAAAUUCAAAAAAAAGCCUUAAUGCUGUGAGCCUUCUACGCAUUCAUACUAGUGAUGGAACAGUAACGUUUAGUUUCAUGCUUUUUUCGUCGUCAACUUCAUAUCAGUGCUCAGGUCAACGCUAAUAGUUCAAUGCUUUAAGUCAUGUCAAUUUAAGAGGCUUUAAAAAAAAAUAUCAGAAAUUUUUCUUCCACGGUGUCCGAAAAAAUCUAAAGGAAAAUUUUUAUCGAGUAAUAUGAGAGUAAAGUCUUACGCAGUUUCCAAUGCCUAUCAUUAUUGUACUGCGAGUCGGACAAUUCAAAAUCUCGUUCCUAUGCAUCAUUCUGAUUACAAAUGCAAAACCGACAUUGUCAAAAGCAAAGUGUGACACUUUCGCAAAAUCAGUUUUCGUUGCAUUGCUAACUGAAGAGCCAAGCUAUAUCAAAAAAGAACUUCCUAAAAUAACUUUUCUUUUUAUGAAUUUAUUAUUUUUCAUUCCAAGCGUCAAUUGGGAACGCGAACGACGAUUAAAUCGUUUGAAACUCACCGGCAAAUUACGUUUAUGCUUGCAGCACUAGCUUUUUAUUGAAAUGACUCUUCCAAACGAAAAUACCUCUGCCAUUGAAAUGGAACUACUGAAAAUAGAGUAUCUUCGUGAAUUGAAAUUUAAGCAGGAAAAGCUUGGUAUUGGUGAGACAGCAAUUAGUCCUCGGAACUGCAAACCCCGAGGAAGGUAAAACUCAACAAUAUCAAGAAAAAAAAGAUUCCAUAAGCCACACACUGGUACAUAAACUGAAGAAUUACUUGUUUGAAAUUACUUAGACAGGGUCAACGGUGUUAUUAAGAAUUCCAAGUACAUUUGCGUAAUUGGCAGAGAGUUCUUUCUUGUUUCCACAAUUUCCAGCACAUUCAUUGUUGUAAUUGUUUUCGUCGUCUUGUUCGAGAAUUUAGCAGGCUACAAUAUUUUUGCGUCCGUAGCUAGCCGUUGUUUAAGGUUACUCCCAGUGUCUUUUUCAUUUUCUCCCACUGUGCCGCCAUUCACUAUUUAUUGCGAAUCCGCCUUGUUUACGUUUUACUUCAUCUUUUUAUUCGUUAUUGUCGCGUGUCUUUAUUUUGUGCUUUUAUUUCCCGCCAUCAUAUGUCGCUGAAGACUACCGGACACUUUAACAUUGCGUAUUAAUUGAUGAAAGUUUUAUUUAUUAGUGAAUGAUCUUGUCGCAUAACAGCAUUCUCCGUGUUUUCCGUUUUUCCGUUUAUUUCAGUUGAACUGAGUUGACUUGUUGUACAAAUUAAUCGAUCCCUUGUUUCUUUGAGUGAAGUUCUUUUUAAAUUCUUACUUCUCUUUUCACUUAUACACUUCUUUUUUUUUCGCUUUUCUCAUAUUAGUUACCAUGUAUUACGAUAACGCUUUCGGCUAUAUCCCUGCCCACUGGGUCACCAUCCUUGCUGUCAUUCUCUUUAGUAUCGCUUUCAUUCUUCACGUUGCUUGUCUUGCUUUCACGAGAAAAUGGCUCGUUAUCGUCCCUAUUAUCGGUACCAUUGGUGAAUUGGCUGGAUGGGCUUGUAGGUUAGACGCUUCGUACAAUCCAGAUGACUACAACGCCUUCUUGGGUCAAAUCAUCGCUUUAAUUAUCGCACCAGUCUUUUAUUCUGCACAGGCUUACGUUUUGUUUCAUCACAUCGUUCUUUUGUAUGGACCUCGAUUUUCCGUUUUAUCUCCUAAGCUAUAUGGAGGCAUCUUUAUCACUUUUGAUAUCAUCGCUCUUAUUCUUCAGGCUGCUGGCGGUGGUGUUGCCGGUGGUGCCGACAGUGGUUCUCAGUUACAAACUCAGGGCUCUCAAAUCAUGUUGGGCGGUAUUUGCUUCCAACUUUUUACCAUUGUUGUUUUUUCUAUCCUGUUUUCCAUUUUUUUCAUUGCGUUAUAUACCCAUCAUCCCAUUCGUCCUUCCACUGGCAGAAGGGAACCAGAUGUUCCAUAUACUCGUGUUCGAACUAUGUCCUGUAAUUGUCUAGCCCUCGCAACAUUUGCAAUGGUAGUUCGUUCCGUCUAUCGUGUUAUUGAGUUGGCACAAGGUUGGGAAGGUGCGGUCAUUACUCAUGAGGUAUGGUUCGAUAUAUUUGAUUUCAUCCCGAUGAUUUUUACUUCGGCCCUUUUGAUUCCCUCUCUAUAUCCUGCUCUCGAGAGAAGCAAAUUGCCUUUCACCGAAAAGCACGUUUCGUCUAUGGAAUACGCUCCCUCGGAGUAUGGCCCUUCGGAAUAUGGUCCUUCUAUAAACGAUAUCACCAAUAUGUCUGCUGUUAUUUACCCAGAUUCAUUUUUGGCACCCAAGGAUCCCAAAAAAUCUUUCUCCUCUGAGGAGCUUUAAGACCUCUUAUAAAUGUGAGCUAUCUAUAUUCGCAUGCAUGGUUUCCGCUACGUGUCAAAUUUCUAGUACGUUUGUUAUUCGUUUUCACUAAUGUCUGUUUUUACAACCGUAUUAUAAUUUCUACAAAAUGUUUAGAUGAGACAUUUCUUCUCCUAUUUAUUGCUUUGCAAUAUGCAUUACUUAUUUCGAGAAAAUAGUUUGAAGCAGUGUUAAAUACCAAGACGUCGAGUGUGUUUAUUUUUUAUUAAAAAAAAAAAAUUACUGAUACGACGAAUCCCCUUCUCCCCAUUCAAGCUUCAUCUUUAAUAUCGUUUUUUAACUCUUUUCGUUGUAUAUUUGAUUAAUAAUCAUAAUUAUCUAUCUAUUAGUCGUUUUUUAAUAAAUAUUUUU
This is a non-coding RNA of Schizosaccharomyces pombe (fission yeast), 2771 nucleotides long. NCBI's taxonomy places the organism in Eukaryota, Fungi, Ascomycota, Schizosaccharomycetes, Schizosaccharomycetales, Schizosaccharomycetaceae. The record is from the annotation of a GenBank genome assembly.